This is a non-coding RNA of Schistosoma rodhaini, 45 nucleotides long. Lineage: Eukaryota; Metazoa; Platyhelminthes; Trematoda; Strigeidida; Schistosomatidae. The record is from Rfam.
CUAUAUAUGACGAGUCCCAAAUAGGACGAAACGCGCGUCCUGGAU